UUGCACGCUGGCGGCAUGCUUUACCCCUGCAAGUCGCACGGUAACAGGCCUUCGGGUGCUGCCGAGUGGCGAACGGGUGAGUAAUGCAUCGGAACGUACCCAGAGGUGGGGGAUAACGCAGCGAAAGCUGUGCUAAUACCGCAUGUGAUCUGAGGAUGAAAGCGGGGGACCGAGCAGCAAUGUUUGGCCUCGCGCCUUUGGAGCGGCCGAUGUCGGAUUAGCUAGUUGGUGGGGUAAAGGCCUACCAAGGCGACGAUCCGUAGCUGGUCUGAGAGGACGACCAGCCACACUGGGACUGAGACACGGCCCAGACUCCUACGGGAGGCAGCAGUGGGGAAUUUUGGACAAUGGGCGCAAGCCUGAUCCAGCAAUGCCGCGUGCGGGAAGAAGGCCUUCGGGUUGUAAACCGCUUUUGGCAGGAACGAAACGGUGUCCGCUAAUACCGGGCGCUAAUGACGGUACCUGCAGAAUAAGCACCGGCUAACUACGUG
Molecule: ribosomal RNA, 491 nt
Filed under: uncultured bacterium
Lineage: Bacteria
Description: partial 16S ribosomal RNA
Rfam family: Bacterial small subunit ribosomal RNA
Source: RNAcentral